RNAcentral lists this ribosomal RNA (497 nucleotides) under uncultured bacterium. RNAcentral's name for it is "partial 16S ribosomal RNA". It matches the Rfam family "Bacterial small subunit ribosomal RNA", at positions 28 to 507 of the family's 1533-position model. The record is from RNAcentral.
GAUGAACGCUGGCGGCGUGCCUAAUACAUGCAAGUCGAGCGAACAGACGAGGAGCUUGCUCCUCUGACGUUAGCGGCGGACGGGUGAGUAACACGUGGAUAACCUACCUAUAAGACUGGGAUAACUUCGGGAAACCGGAGCUAAUACCGGAUAAUAUAUUGAACCGCAUGGUUCAAUAGUGAAAGACGGUUUUGCUGUCACUUAUAGAUGGAUCCGCGCCGCAUUAGCAAGUUGGUAAGGUAACGGCUUACCAAGGCAACGAUGCGUAGCCGACCUGAGAGGGUGAUCGGCCACACUGGAACUGAGACACGGUCCAGACUCCUGCGGGAGGCAGCAGUAGGGAAUCUUCCGCAAUGGGCGAAAGCCUGACGGAGCAACGCCGCGUGAGUGAUGAAGGUCUUCGGAUCGUAAAACUCUGUUAUUAGGGAAGAACAAAUGUGUAAGUAACUAUGCACGUCUUGACGGUACCUAAUCAGAAAGCCACGGCUAACUACGUG